AUUGAACGCUGGCGGCAUGCCUUACACAUGCAAGUCGAACGGCAGCACGGGAGCAAUCCUGGUGGCGAGUGGCGAACGGGUGAGUAAUAUAUCGGAACGUGCCCAGUCGUGGGGAUAACGUAGCGAAAGCUACGCUAAUACCGCAUACUAUCUAUGGAUGAAAGCGGGGGAUCGCAAGACCUCGCGCGAUUGGAGCGGCCGAUAUCAGAUUAGGUAGUUGGUGAGGUAAAGGCUCACCAAGCCGACGAUCUGUAGCUGGUCUGAGAGGACGACCAGCCACACUGGGACUGAGACACGGCCCAGACUCCUACGGGAGGCAGCAGUGGGGAAUUUUGGACAAUGGGCGCAAGCCUGAUCCAGCAAUGCCGCGUGCAGGAUGAAGGCCU
Molecule: ribosomal RNA, 386 nt
Filed under: uncultured bacterium
Lineage: Bacteria
Description: bacterial SSU rRNA
Rfam family: Bacterial small subunit ribosomal RNA
Source: RNAcentral